GAUGAACGCUAGCGGCAGGCCUAAUACAUGCAAGUCGAGGGGCAGCAGGAAUAGCAAUAUUCGCUGGCGACCGGCGCACGGGUGCGUAACCCGUAUACAAUCUGCCUUUAACAGGGGGAUAGCCCGGAGAAAUCCGGAUUAAUACCCCAUAACAGUGAUCUUGGCAUCAAGGACACUUAAAAGCUCCGGCGGUUCAAGAUGAGUAUGCGUCUGAUUAGCUAGUUGGUGAGGUAACGGCUCACCAAGGCGACGAUCGGUAGGGGAUCUGAGAGGAUUAACACCCAAACGGAUACUGAGACACGGAGCCGACUACUCGGGGAGGCAGCAGUAAGGAAUAUUGGACAAGGCCCGCAAGGGUGAUCCAGCCAUGCCGCGUGCAGGAAGACGGCCCUAUGGGCUGUAAACUGCUUUUACACCGGAGAAAACCCCACUACGUGUAGUGGGCUGAUAGUAUGGUGAGAAUAAGCAUCGGCUAACUUCGUGCCAGCCGCCGCGGUAA
This 499-nucleotide ribosomal RNA is filed under the name uncultured bacterium. RNAcentral's name for it is "partial 16S ribosomal RNA". It matches the Rfam family "Bacterial small subunit ribosomal RNA", at positions 28 to 523 of the family's 1533-position model. The record is from RNAcentral.